RNAcentral lists this ribosomal RNA (451 nucleotides) under uncultured bacterium. RNAcentral describes it as "partial 16S ribosomal RNA". It matches the Rfam family "Bacterial small subunit ribosomal RNA", at positions 29 to 507 of the family's 1533-position model. The record is from RNAcentral.
AGUGAACGCUGGCGGCGUGCCUAAUACAUGCAAGUCGAACGGUAACAGGAAGUAGCUUGCUACUUUGCUGAUUAGUGGCGCACGGGUGAGUAAUGCAUAGGUCAUGUGCCCCAUAGUCUGGGAUAGCCACUGGAAACGGUGAUUAAUACUGGAUACUCCCGAGAGGGGAAAGUUUUUCGCUAUGGGAUCAGCCUAUGUCCUAUCAGCUUGUUGGUGAGGUAAUGGCUCACCAAGGCUAUGACGGGUAUCCGGCCUGAGAGAGUGAACGGACACACUGGAACUGAGACACGGUCCAGACUCCUACGGGAGGCAGCAGUAGGGAAUAUUGCUCAAUGGGGGAAACCCUGAAGCAGCAACGCCGCGUGGAGGAUGAAGGUCUUCGGAUUGUAAACUCCUUUUCUAAGAGAAGAUUAUGACGGUAUCUUAGGAAUAAGCACCGGCUAACUCCGUG